Molecule: non-coding RNA, 102 nt
Organism: Trametes versicolor FP-101664 SS1
Lineage: Eukaryota; Fungi; Basidiomycota; Agaricomycetes; Polyporales; Polyporaceae
Source: the annotation of a RefSeq genome assembly
GGUUCGAUGGUGUAGUUGGUUAUCACGUCUGUCUCACACGGGUUUGAUCAUCUGAUCACGUGAUUACACAGGAGGUCUCCGGUUCGAGCCCGGGUCGAACCA